RNAcentral lists this small RNA (354 nucleotides) under Syntrophales bacterium. RNAcentral describes it as "transfer-messenger RNA". It matches the Rfam family "transfer-messenger RNA". Rfam says of the family: Bacterial tmRNA, also known as 10Sa RNA or SsrA, is named for its dual tRNA and mRNA-like properties. The record is from RNAcentral. Lineage: Bacteria; Pseudomonadati; Thermodesulfobacteriota; Syntrophia; Syntrophales.
GGGGGCGUCACGGUUUCGACGGGGAUAACUGAAGCUGUAGAAGCGUACCGAGGUUCCUACAGGCCUCGUUAAACAGGUAGGACAAUAUAAUCGCAGACAACUACGAUUACGCUUUAGCCGCUUAGACGGCUAACGUUCUCCUGAACCCGCCUGUCGGUUCAGAUGAGGGCGUCAUUAAGGCAGGAUAACUGCUCCCUCUUGCCCGGCGGGGGAGGGGCGAAAAAAUAACGGGAUAGCGCCUGAUCAAACCUGACUCUGGGUGUUUUCGGGGGCGAAAUCAAAUCAGAGUCUACGUACGUAGAAACUGCAGUGGAAUAUUUUCGGACGCGGGUUCGACUCCCGCCGCCUCCACCA